AUUUUAAUAAAUUUUAAUGAAUCUUAAUAACUUUUAAUGAAAAGGGUCAAUUGAGAGAGAUUUUUAGUAAAAUAUUUUAGUAAUAUAUUUCCAUUAUCUUGGAUGUUUUGUUUUAGAAUGCGCUCCAAUCCAAAAGCAAUAGGUCUGUUUUUUAGCUGAACUUCUUGCACGAUUCAGCAGUCUUCUUUUUCUGUUCAUUGGAGAGAUAAAGAAAAAAGUUCAACUGUGCAACAAGUUCAAUUAAAAAUAAGAGAGCGUUCCCACCGAGCGCGUAACACGUCGCAUCGUUUUUCGCGUCCAAUCAAAACGUCUCAUUUUAUUAUGAUAAAAUAUAAUACAUGUUUUGAAUGAACGCGAAGGACGACGCGACGCAUGACGCGCUCGGUAGAAACGCUUCCUAACGGAUCUAGCACGCUGCCGCGGCACGCGCAGGCGCACGGCUGUAACAUUGGCGUGUCGCGUGCGUGCCACGUGCGACGAAUGCGACGAUCAGUGUUAACUGUGAACCGAGUGUAGUAAGACGUGCGUGUUUAUGAAGUUUAUUUUUUAUUCCUGCACUGCUGUACUAGUGCAAUAAGUUAGAAUAAGAAAAAAUAUAUUUGUCUUAUUCUAACUUAUUACACCAGUGCAGCAGUGUAAGAAUAAAAAACAAACCUUGGACUUCGUUCUGGGCAGUCGACGUGAUCCGACUCCUCUCUCCUAAUAUACAUUAUUAUAAUUCAAUAUCGUUUAAUCAUCGAGUGAAGACAUAAUCGUCUACAAAUACUUGGCAUUCUUCGGCGCCCGUAUUUCUGAAUAAGUCAAAGAUUCCUCAUUAUCAGAAACUUGUGGGGUUAUUCCGGCACCUGGUAAAGAGAGAUAGGCGUUACAAUUUCGCCCGUCACGGUACAGCCAUAUUAGAGGAGUUUGCUGUGUGCUUAUUGAGUAGUUACUUGUAACAAUAUCGAAGAAAAUCCUAAUUGAAUCGCGCCCAUAUAACCUAAGAGUUACUUGUAUACCACGAGGAUCGCUAUUCAAUAAACUGUUGGCCUAUGAAAAGAUAUUAUUUUCAACAAUACCAAAGAAAAUUCCAAUUAAGUUGCCCAUAUAACCAAAGAGUUACUUGUAUACCACGAGGAUCGCUAUUCAAUAAACUGUUGGCCUAUGAAAAGAGAUUAUUUUCAACAAUACCAAAGAAAAUUCCAAUUGAGUUGCCCAUAUAACAAACUCGCCAAUUUCAAAGUUCCGAAGAAAUUGAAACUAUUGACAUUUGGUGUAAUCUUCCACUGAAAGAUGAAAGGAGUCUACAAGAAUUAGAAAUUAAGCUUAAGGAGAACGAAAAUUAUAGGAAAAAAAUGAUUAAAGAGUUUGCAAAUUUAGGAGGCCAAAAUGUGAAAACUUCAGCUUUAAAACUAAUGCGGAAAAUAUUUACAAACGAACUCGCCGUUCAAUAUAGCUGGGUCGGAGGCAAAAAGAAAAAUAUUUUUGUGGACUUAAUGAUAUGCAAAGUUAUACUUAGUGCGUUGAGAAAACAUUAUCAAAAUUCUACGGAGGAAGAACUGUCAGCUCCGAUAAAAAUUUGGCUCGCUCACGCCAAAGAGCGAUGUUCAAAAGCUACGCUUAACACGCAGAAUUAAUUUUGUUUUUCGCAAUUUUUUUGUUGCGCUGUUUCCAAAGUGUAUACUCCCGAGAAAACUGUAUUCUCAGGGAAUUUUAUUAUUUUAUAUAAGUUAUAUAAAAUAAUAAAAUUUCUCCUAUAUUU
This is a long non-coding RNA of Monomorium pharaonis (pharaoh ant), 1741 nucleotides long. RefSeq lists it as uncharacterized. The transcript is spliced from 5 exons. The record is from RefSeq and is a predicted model, not a curated record. Lineage: Eukaryota; Metazoa; Arthropoda; Insecta; Hymenoptera; Formicidae.